UACGGAGGAUGCAAGCGUUAUCCGGAUUCAUUGGGUUUAAAGGGUCCGCAGGCGGGGUAAUAAGUCAGAGGUGAAAUCCUACGGCUCAACUGUAGAACUGCCUUUGAUACUGUUAUCCUAGAGUGUAGUUGAUGUGGGCGGAAUAUGUCAUGUAGCGGUGAAAUGCUUAGAUAUGACAUAGAACACCGAUCGCGAAGGCAGCUCACAAAGCUACAACUGACGCUCAGGGACGAAAGCGUGGGGAUCAAACAGG
RNAcentral lists this ribosomal RNA (253 nucleotides) under uncultured bacterium. RNAcentral's name for it is "partial 16S ribosomal RNA". It matches the Rfam family "Bacterial small subunit ribosomal RNA", at positions 524 to 776 of the family's 1533-position model. The record is from RNAcentral.